GACGAACGCUGGCGGCGUGCUUAACACAUGCAAGUCGAACGGAAAGGCCCCUUUGGGGGUACUCGAGUGGCGAACGGGUGAGUAACACGUGAGUAACCUGCCCUUGACUUCGGGAUAACUUCAGGAAACUGGGGCUAAUACCGGAUAGGAAUCCUUGCUGCAUGGUGGGGGUUGGAAAGCUUCGGCGGUUUUGGAUGGACUCGCGGCUUAUCAGCUUGUUGGUUGGGUAGUGGCUUACCAAGGCUUUGACGGGUAGCCGGCCUGAGAGGGCGACCGGCCACAUUGGGACUGGGAUACGGCCCAGACUCCUACGGGAGGCAGCAGUGGGGAAUAUUGCACAAUGGGCGGAAGCCUGAUGCAGCAACGCCGCGUGCGGGAUGACGGCCUUCGGGUUGGAAACCGCUUUCAGCAGGGGCGAAGCUUGUGGUGACGGUACCUGCAGAAGAAGCACCGGCUAACUACGUG
RNAcentral lists this ribosomal RNA (465 nucleotides) under uncultured bacterium. RNAcentral describes it as "partial 16S ribosomal RNA". It matches the Rfam family "Bacterial small subunit ribosomal RNA", at positions 28 to 507 of the family's 1533-position model. The record is from RNAcentral.